CCGGUGCGACGCAGGGCAACCUUUAGUCCCACCUCGCCUAGCGAGGGGCGCUUGCAGUGCUUUAUAAGCACUGUCGCGCCUUGCUCAAUUGAGCUUCUCUCUAUUGCAGGCUUGUGGGCCUAACUCUCCUCUCGCUGCAUGUUGGGCCUAUUGGGCCCGUGGCCCUGCAUCCUGGCCCACCUGUCGGGUAGGGUUUCUAGUCGUAUGCAGGCCGUGAUGGCCCAAUAGGCGGAUUUUUUUACUUUAAUAAUUUUUAGUCCUAGUUUAUAUUUUAAUUCUUUGCUAUUAAAUAUUUUUUAUCUCUUCUAUUUUAGUUUUCUAUUGAGUUGAUCUUUUUUUGUUUUUUUUAGUUAAUGUUUUACUUGAUUCUUUCCAACAAAUAAGCACUUUGAUAAUUUUAGUUAAUUAUUUUUAAUUCAUUCAUUUUAGUUAAUAUUUAGUUGAUUCUUUUUAGUUGACUCUUUUUUUUUGUUUUCUAUUAAGUAUUUUAACAAAAAAAACUUUAUGAAAUUUCUGACUUCGUUUGAUAUUUUUCGUGAAUUUACUUAUUUUUUUUGAGCUAGUUGACCCUGAAAUUGAAAAGCACUACAAAUAAACUCUAAAAAUGUUGAAAUUGGCAUGGUAUCAUCAUUUUCACCCACAUAGCAUGUGCUAGAAAGUUGAGAGGGUUACGGCAAAAACUGGAUGCACUUCGUGUACAAAACGGACAAUCUCUCUCAAAGUAUCAGGGUUCCAAACGAGAACUCGUCUGUUACAAAGGGAUUUCAUUUUUUGUAAUUAUUUGAACUCCAUACAUUUUGUGUGUUAAAAAAGCACCAUUCAAAGGCACAUCACAAAAUUUCAACAAUUUCUGACUUCGUUUGAUAUUUUUCGUGAAUUUUCUUUUUUUUUUAGAGCUAGUUGACCCUGAAAUUGAAAAGCACUACAAAUGAACUCCAAAAAUGUUGAAAGUUGGCAUGGUAUCAUCAUUUUCACCCACAUAGUAUGUGUUAGAAAGUUGAGAGGGUUACGGCAAAAACUGGAUGCACUUCGUGUACAAAACGGACAAUCUCUCUCGAAGUAUCACGGUUUCGAACGAGAACUCAUAUGUUACAAAGGGAUUUCAUUUUUGUAUUUAUUUGAACUCCAUACAUUUUGUGUGUUCAAAAAGCAUCAUUCAAAGGCACAUCACAAAAUUUCAACAAUUUCUGACUUCAUUUGAUAUUUUUCGUGCAUUUAAUUAUUUUUUUGAGCUAGUUGACCCUAAAAUUGAGAAGCACUACAAAUGAAAUCUGAAAAUGUUGAAAGUUGGCAUGGUAUCAUCAUUUCACCCACACAGCAUGUGCUAAAAAUUUGAGAGGGUUACGACAAAAACUGGAUGCACUUCGUGUACAAGACGGACAAUCUCUCUCGAAGUAUCACGGUUUCGAACGAGAACUCAUCUGUUACAAAGGUAUUUCAUUUUUUUGAACUUAUUUCAACUCCAUACUUUUUGUGUGUUUAAAAUGCACCAUUCAAAGGCAUACCACAAAUUUUCAACAAUUUUCGACUUCAUUUGGUAUUUUUCGUGCAUUUACUUUUUUUUAGCUAAUUGAUCCUGAAAUUGAUAAGCACAACAAAUGAAAUCUGAAAAUGCUGAAAGUUGGCAUGGUAUCAUCAUUUCACCCACAAAGCAUGUGCUAAAAAGUUGAGAGGGUUACGGCAAAAACUGAAUGCACUUCGUGUACAACACGGACAAUCUCUCUCGAAGUAUAAGGGUUUAGAACGAGAACUCAUGUGUUACAAAGUGAUUUCAUUUUUUUGAACUUAUUUGAACUCCAUACUUUUUGUGUGUUCAAAAUGCACCAUUCAAAGGCACAUCACAAAUUUUCAACAAUUUCUAACUUCAUUUGGUAUUUUUCGUGCAUUUACUUAUUUCUAUUAACUAUUUUGUUAUUUUCAAUUAAAAACUAUGUUUAUUAAAAUUCUUUUUGCAUAUUUGAGAAUUUGACAAAACUAUGAAAAUGAAAAGUGUUUGAAAUUGAAUAAUUAAUUCAAAACUAUUUUCUAUUUUCAAAAUUAAUUAUUUUGACUAUCCAAACUAUUAACUAUUUUGUUAUUUUCAAUUAAAAACUAUGUUUAUUAAAAUUCUUUGCAUAUUUGAGAAUUUGACAAAACUAUGAUAAUGAAAAGUGUUUGAAAUUGAAUAAAUAAUUCAAAACUAAAAGAUUUAGUACAUUCCAUACAUGCAUUACAUAAAAGGUUUAAUACAUUAUUACAUUAUUGCACCAAUAUUCCUAUCUAUUAUUUCUGUUUUCUUCUGGGUCGUAGUCAUGGAGAAUCUUCAUCAUUCAGUAGGAUGCUUAGGUCAGUUUUUACUUUGAAGGACGGAAUUUCGUGAAACUUAUUAUAAUCUAGUGACAUGUCUGUCUUGUCAUCUACUCCCACGAUGUUUCUUUUCCCUGAAUGAACUAUGUGGCGUUUUGGCUCAUCGGACGAUAUCUUUUUUUUGCUGAUUUCUUUUUCUCGUUUUUGUAGACAUGUCCUUCACAUAGAAAACCUGAGUGACAUCAUUGGCUAGGACAAAUGGUUCGUCCAUGUACGCAAGAUUGUUGAGAUUCACUGUUGUCAUGCCGUACUUUUGGUCUACAACUACCCCGCCUCCUGUCAGCUUCACCCAUUUGCACCGAAACAAAGGGAUCUUAAAAGUAGGUCCAUAAUCAAGUUCCCAUAUCUCCUCUAUGUACCUGUAAUAUGUUUCCAAACAGUGCCCAUUCUCGUCUGUUGCAUCAAAGCGGACACCACUAUUUUGGUUGGUGCUCUUUUUAUCUUGGGCAACCGUGUAAAAUGUAUUCCCAUUUAUCUCAUACCCUUGGAAAGUACAUAUAGUCGAAGAUGGUGGCCUGGCCAAACAGUACAGUUGAUCUCCAACGGUGUCGUCAUUCAUGAGAUGUGUCUGCAACCAACUGCCGAAAGUCUUCUCGUGUUCCCCUUUAAUCCAAGAGUCAGCCUUCCCCGGGUUUUCGGAGCGUAGAAUAUUCUUGUGUCUCACGAUAUACGGAGCCACCACGGUGGAAUUGUGUAGAAUUGUGUAGUGUGCUUGAGAGAAAGAAUGUCCGUCCAUACAUACUUUUGCUUUCCUUCCUAGUGUGCCUUUUCCUGUCAGCCUACCCUCAUACCGAGAUUCAGGAACUGUUGGAAUUAUGCCCUAGAGGCAAUACUAAAU
This 3184-nucleotide long non-coding RNA is filed under the name Hordeum vulgare. Its description in RNAcentral is "long non-coding RNA (HVUL_LNC021225)". Lineage: Eukaryota; Viridiplantae; Streptophyta; Magnoliopsida; Poales; Poaceae. The record is from RNAcentral.